Molecule: non-coding RNA, 441 nt
Organism: Equus caballus (horse)
Lineage: Eukaryota; Metazoa; Chordata; Mammalia; Perissodactyla; Equidae
Source: RefSeq, a predicted model, not a curated record
CUCAGUCUGGACGGACCCGAGCAUACCGGGGACAAAGGGCGGGUCCGGGCGGGCGUUCCACUUCGAGAAGGGCGACCUUUAAUGGGGGAUCCGAGCGAAAGAAGCCUUCAGAAACUGGCUGGGAAAAAAAGGAGUUUGUGCCAGAAAUGCUGCUGUAAGAUUAUGCCAAGCUUCUCUCCUCCAAAAUCCCACUAGACUCCAGGACAAUGCUUUAUUCAUGUUUGGAUCUCCCAAAGUACCCAGCUGGAUACUUGACACAAAAUGUCCCCAAACAGAAGAAAUCUUAAGAAAUUCCUACCUUCUUGCCUGCUCCAAGUCCACAGAGUUAAAUAAAAGUUUGUAACUAUAUCAAAUCAGGAAAUAGUAACUAAUUUGUAAAACAGGUAAAGUUUAUAGUAAUAUGAAGAGAACAAGUGAUAAGUCUGAAAAUGCUACAUGGAU